AUUCCCUGCAAGGCCAAAGGUGAGGGACAGAGCCAGGCAGCUAAAAAAAGUGAAUGCUGAUAGAAAUGAAAAGCUGAACCAAAGAAGGAGGCCAUUUGCAGAAGAAAACUACAACACCGAAAGUUUAAUUUGUUCUGCAGUGGCCUACAUAGAAGGCAAACUGCCACAGCAGAUUAGACGAGGGGUCCACUGGGGCUGCCGUGCCAGCACCGCCGCAGCUAUCUCUAAAAGCGCGAGAGAAAUGAUGCGUGUGACCUGGAGUGACAAACGGGAAGAGAGGCCACCUAAAGGUACCAUUUCAACUGGAGGCAGCUUAUGGCACCUUGUGGUUCCCUGAGAAGCUUCACUGGGGAGAAGAGGAAGUGACUGCAGCUCCAGUUGAAUCUCUCACCCCUCCCAUAACUGAGAUGGACCAAGAGGACUCAAGGGUCCACAACACUUCUCCUGCUGAGGAAGGGCUCAUCAAGACAGGAUUAAGCAAGGAACACCUUGGCUACAACAGCCAAAGCACCUUGGUGUGACAGCUAAAAAAAAAAAAAGAAAACCAAAAGCUCUUGCCUCCCUCUCCUGCCCCAUUAAAAAUUGUCUUCUCCACACCAAGAAGCAACUUCAGCAAACGAGAGGGAUUCGGGCAGUGGCAAAAAACCUUGCUACACGAGCGGCCCCAACCCAAAGGAAACAUUGGGUCGCGGCAGGUCUCCUCUUAGGACGCUGGAAGUUGCUGACUGGCAUUUUCACAUUACAAGGUGCUACAGUUCGAAGCUUUUCGCUUAGCUGAAUGCAAUACCUUUGCCGCCCUACCCCCACGCUCUUUUGAACACAGGACUAGCCCCCCAAAACCCCUCUUCUACACACGAGGGCUUUCUGUUCCCUUCAGAGGCCGAACGCAAUUGCGGGUGCAUAGCUGGGCGACCAAGAAGGUUUCGGCUUACGUCUAAGCCGGCACUCCAGAUUCAAUCAGAGGUAGCUGGUGGCACUUGAGCCGCAUCUCCGGGAACCUGCCCGCUUUAGUGGCAACCUGAGACAAGGCAAGGACGCGAACGUGGCCCUGCCGAUCGAUGCCCGCCCUGCGAGCGGCCAGAGGCCGGCAGCUCGGGGCGGGCAGGCGGCGGGAGCAGAGGAACCUCACACAAACAAAAGGUGCGCGCUGACGUUAAUCUCCGCUAACGAAGCCUGCACAGAGCCCGCGCUCUGAGUCACCCGGCGCAGC
RNAcentral lists this long non-coding RNA (1210 nucleotides) under Parus major (Great Tit). Its description in RNAcentral is "lncRNA (ENSPMJG00000001403.1)". The record is from RNAcentral. Lineage: Eukaryota; Metazoa; Chordata; Aves; Passeriformes; Paridae.